GGGGGUGUGGCUCAGUGGUAGAGCCUUGUCUGGCUAUCAGGAAGCCUAGGUUCAAUCUCCCAGUACCUCAA
This 71-nucleotide transfer RNA is filed under the name Cricetulus griseus (Chinese hamster). It matches the Rfam family "tRNA". Rfam says of the family: Transfer RNA (tRNA) molecules are approximately 80 nucleotides in length. Their secondary structure includes four short double-helical elements and three loops (D, anti-codon, and T loops). The record is from Rfam by way of RNAcentral. Lineage: Eukaryota; Metazoa; Chordata; Mammalia; Rodentia; Cricetidae.